CCUCAAAUCAGGUAGGACUACCCGCUGAACUU
This 32-nucleotide ribosomal RNA is filed under the name Papiliotrema laurentii. Its description in RNAcentral is "partial 28S ribosomal RNA". The record is from RNAcentral. Lineage: Eukaryota; Fungi; Basidiomycota; Tremellomycetes; Tremellales; Rhynchogastremaceae.